UCAUAAUGAUGCUAUGCCAUGCUAAUACCGAGAGAUCAGUUUUGGAUCUCGCUGAGUUAAACAUCUCAAAUAUUCUGAAUGUA
RNAcentral lists this small nucleolar RNA (83 nucleotides) under Habropoda laboriosa. Lineage: Eukaryota; Metazoa; Arthropoda; Insecta; Hymenoptera; Apidae. The record is from RNAcentral.